AUAUUAGCAAAUUUAAUAUUUAUUUUGAUGUGGUUUGAUAAAUAAUACAAAUUUUAAAAAAACAUGAAAAAUUAAAUAAAAAAUUAAAAUAGUUUUUUUAAAUUGGAGGAAAAAAAUUAUUGUGCCAUAAUAAUUUGGCACGUGUCCUCGUGAUCCUCACACUACUUUUUUUUUCCCUACAAAAAGUAUGGCUGAAACACCACCAUAUUUCUCCAAAAAAAAAAAAAAAUAAAUAAAAACACCGUAUUGC
RNAcentral lists this long non-coding RNA (250 nucleotides) under Gossypium barbadense (sea-island cotton). RNAcentral's name for it is "long non-coding RNA (GBAR_LNC011448)". The record is from RNAcentral. Lineage: Eukaryota; Viridiplantae; Streptophyta; Magnoliopsida; Malvales; Malvaceae.